RNAcentral lists this ribosomal RNA (468 nucleotides) under uncultured bacterium. RNAcentral describes it as "partial 16S ribosomal RNA". It matches the Rfam family "Bacterial small subunit ribosomal RNA", at positions 28 to 507 of the family's 1533-position model. The record is from RNAcentral.
GACGAACGCUGGCGGCGUGCUUAACACAUGCAAGUCGAACGGAAAGGCCCUGCCUUUGUGGGGUGCUCGAGUGGCGAACGGGUGAGUAACACGUGAGUAACCUGCCCUUGACUUUGGGAUAACUUCAGGAAACUGGGGCUAAUACCGGAUCGGAGCUCCUGCUGCAUGGUGGGGGUUGGAAAGUUUCGGCGGUUGGGGAUGGACUCGCGGCUUAUCAGCUUGUUGGUGGGGUAGUGGCUUACCAAGGCUUUGACGGGUAGCCGGCCUGAGAGGGUGACCGGCCACAUUGGGACUGAGAUACGGCCCAGACUCCUACGGGAGGCAGCAGUGGGGAAUAUUGCACAAUGGGCGGAAGCCUGAUGCAGCAACGCCGCGUGCGUGAUGACGGCCUUCGGGUUGUAAACCGCUUUCGCCUGUGACGAAGCGUGAGUGACGGUAAUGGGUAAAGAAGCACCGGCUAACUACGUG